CUGAGAAUCUUGAAGUAAGUUAAAUAAUUGCAUAUCAAAGACACCAAACCAGAAUGGAAGAAAAUUUAAAACAUCUCAGAUAGAUAUGCUGAACUAUGUAGAUGUAUGGCCUUCAAGUAAGACAACGUAGCCUUAACCACAACCAAGUGGUAUAGGAAGUCUAGAUAUUUUUAAUGUUGUAUCUUUUUUUCUGGUUUACAGGGAAAGCCAGAGAGCUGUGCAGUUACUCCUCGAUUUCCCAAAUCAAAAGACGAAGGAUGGUUUUUGAUAUUAGGAGAAGUGGAUAAGAGAGAACUUAUUGCUUUGAAAAGAGUAGGAUAUAUUCGAAAUCAUCAUGUUGCUUCCCUUUCUUUUUAUACCCCUGAAAUACCUGGAAGGUAUAUCUACACAUUAUAUUUCAUGAGUGACUGCUACCUUGGCCUGGACCAGCAGUAUGACAUCUAUCUCAACGUUACACAAGCGAGUCUUUCUGCACAGGUCAACACCAAGGUCUCUGAUUCCCUGACUGACCUGGCAUUAAAGUAACUUGACCUGAACAAUCCAUUUGAAAGGAGUGGCUAAGAAUUCUCUCUGUUCAGUCAUCUAGACAAAUCGAAUUACUUGAUGUUUGCCUUGAAAGAAUCAACUUCUAACCUCAACCAUCCAGGAAAUUGACAGUGGCUGCAGUAUUGACUCCAGUGACAUAAAGUUAAC
RNAcentral lists this long non-coding RNA (693 nucleotides) under Homo sapiens (human). RNAcentral describes it as "non-protein coding lnc-SIM1-2:1". The record is from RNAcentral. Lineage: Eukaryota; Metazoa; Chordata; Mammalia; Primates; Hominidae.